UACGGGGGGGGCAAGCGUUGUUCGGAAUUACUGGGCGUAAAGGGCUCGUAGGUGGCCAACUAAGUCAGACGUGAAAUCCCUCGGCUUAACCGGGGAACUGCGUCUGAUACUGGAUGGCUUGAGAUUGGGAGAGGGAUGCGGAAUUCCAGGUGUAGCAGUGAAAUGCGUAGAUAUGUGGAGGAACACCGAUGGCGAAGGCAGCCCCCUGGGUUAACACUGACGCUCAUGCACGAAAGCGUGGGGAGCAAACAGG
RNAcentral lists this ribosomal RNA (253 nucleotides) under uncultured bacterium. RNAcentral's name for it is "partial 16S ribosomal RNA". It matches the Rfam family "Bacterial small subunit ribosomal RNA", at positions 524 to 776 of the family's 1533-position model. The record is from RNAcentral.